This 882-nucleotide long non-coding RNA is filed under the name Cricetulus griseus (Chinese hamster). RNAcentral describes it as "lncRNA (ENSCGRG00000025927.1)". The record is from RNAcentral. Lineage: Eukaryota; Metazoa; Chordata; Mammalia; Rodentia; Cricetidae.
UAACAUGAUUUGAUUCUUUAAAACCAGGCAAUAGAGAGAAAACAGAGCAGAUCAUGGAUAGCAAAUGGUUCAAUUGUAGAUAGAAGACACAUGAUGCAAGGUGUUAACUGAUGUGACUAUGUAUCCAUCACCAGGAAUCCCAAGAGCAACAUGGAAGUCUCCAUCAGUAGGCAUGCAAUGAAUCAAAACAAGAGUGAGUUGUGAAAUCAAAUGUCUACAAAUGACAGCUGGCUAGUGACUGGAGAAACACAUCUGUCCUGUCUUACUGAUGGCCUAUGAUGUGGUGUAGCAUUUGGAAUUUUCCAUUGCAGUUUUCAAAGUCAUCUCCAAAGUUUAUGGUAUCAGUAUUAGAUUGGAAAAUCAUACUCUAAAACUUUAUUUUAAAGAAAGACUGGUGAAUCAUAAUAGACAAAUGAUUACAAAAAUAAAGGCAAGAAAAGUUAUGAACUGCUGAACUGAAGAAGAUAAAGGAUUUCACUUCUAAGUGGAAAUCACAAACUUGUAGAGACAAAGAAAAUGUUCAUGAUGGGACACACCUCGGUUCAAAUGCUGGACUGGUUCCACCCACUCUUUCAACCAUUACACUUAUUUUCAAAGUCCAAGACUUGCCUGAUAUGGGCUGUCAUAUGGAGACACACUAGCUUGCCGAGCGAGGCCGGCUUGUCGUCCAGCUUCGCUGCGGGGACCGACUUGGGUUUCUUGGACUGGGGCAGGAGCAUGGACUGCCGUUUCAGGGACAUGGCACCGGGGAAGUGGCAAGGGGCCAGCGGCCGGAGCCUCCGUGCUCAGGGCAGGAAGAAAGUGGAAGGAACUGCCCUUGUUUCUAAUUCUAAUAAAAACAAUCUGCAAACAAAAAAUGAGUUUGAAAAACCAGUAUGCCAG